AAGAAAAAAGAUGGAAAUUACAAAGACGUGCAAAGACGUCUUUGGAGAAUUGCAAGAGCAAAUCUAGUUUGUUCCUCACGUGCACAAAUUUUCAUAGUAAAGGCGUAUUC
This is a long non-coding RNA of Poecilia latipinna (sailfin molly), 110 nucleotides long. RefSeq lists it as uncharacterized. The transcript has 3 exons. Lineage: Eukaryota; Metazoa; Chordata; Actinopteri; Cyprinodontiformes; Poeciliidae. The record is from RefSeq and is a predicted model, not a curated record.